UGGGGAAUAUUGGACAAUGGGCGAAAGCCUGAUCCAGCCAUGCCGCGUGUGUGAAGAAGGUCUUCGGAUUGUAAAGCACUUUAAGUUGGGAGGAAGGGCAUUAACCUAAUACGUUAGUGUUUUGACGUUACCGACAGAAUAAGCACCGGCUAACUCUGUGCCAGCAGCCGCGGUAAUACAGAGGGUGCAAGCGUUAAUCGGAAUUACUGGGCGUAAAGCGCGCGUAGGUGGUUUGUUAAGUUGGAUGUGAAAUCCCCGGGCUCAACCUGGGAACUGCAUUCAAAACUGACUGACUAGAGUAUGGUAGAGGGUGGUGGAAUUUCC
Molecule: ribosomal RNA, 324 nt
Filed under: uncultured bacterium
Lineage: Bacteria
Description: partial 16S ribosomal RNA
Rfam family: Bacterial small subunit ribosomal RNA
Source: RNAcentral